This 1169-nucleotide long non-coding RNA is filed under the name Taeniopygia guttata (zebra finch). RNAcentral describes it as "lncRNA (ENSTGUG00000028393.1)". Lineage: Eukaryota; Metazoa; Chordata; Aves; Passeriformes; Estrildidae. The record is from RNAcentral.
AUGGCAAAAUUGAUAACCAGUUGGGCCAUUACUGCUGCUGCUCUGACACGGCCCAAGAUCAGAGCACCAGCCCUCCUGGUGACUGCACCAGGGCUGCAGGUUCUUCAACUGCAAACUAGUACCGACUGGAGUCUCCCUUUCACCUGUCUUGUUCCCAUGCAAUUUCUAUGCACAGAUUUUUGUCUCUUUUUCACUUAAUUGUGCCUAGUAAUUCUUGGCCCUAAAAACAGAGCUGGGACCUUUCUGUGUGUCAGUCUUCCCUCCUGUAGAAUGAAUCGUGUGGUUUGUAGUAAAAUGGGAGUAUCUUUGAAUGAAUAACACUAUGUAAAUCCCCAGAUUUACUGUAGUCAAUUUGUCAUUUCAUUUAACAUGAGAGGUAGACUAUAGGGCAGAGUAUCAUACUACGUUGAUGGAUAAGUUAUUGCUGUAGUUGAGUUUGCCAAAAUUAACACAUUUAUUAUUGGAAAACAACAACAAUGGGGAAAAAAAAGGCUCAACCAAGCAAAAAAACUUUGGAAAAGUUUCUCUUUUCUGAGUACAGGCAUUUUAUGUUAGAGCCUUAGAGCUGAUUCUGUCUCUCCCAAGUUAUAAACCCUUAUGGAUGCACCAUAAACAUGUCCACCUAAUGCAGAGAAAAGCAGAUUAAUUGAUCACAGUAAUAUAUUCUUAUCCACUGAAUAAGAGCAUUCCACACAUUGUUUCUUGUUUUGUUUCUGGCUUGUAAAUCUUCAUUGUAGGAUACAAAUGAAAAUGACCCAAAUAUGUAUUAUUUAUGAAUAGGACUCUCAGAUAUUAUGCUUUAGAUUGAUUGUGUUAGACAGGAUAUAACAGAAGCACAAUAAGUCAAUGAAAAAUAAAAAGCAGAAAAAAUGUUUCAUGCUAAAAAUGUAGUUCUAGUGACACCUCUUAUAUAAAGGACAUUUCCAACACAUUGACAUUUAUAUUUAUCAUAGCUAUGCAUGUGAUUUACAGUUGUCUAAGGUACUGAAUAUCAGGAAUAUCCAUGCACAUACACACCCCUUUGAAUGAUGGCAAGACACAGACUGCUGCAUUGCCCCUUUUACAGCAGGCUUUUCCUCCCCUUUUUAUUUUUCUUCUCUAGCUUCAGGGACGCAGAGGAAGCAGUAGAUCAAUAGGGUGUCUUGACUGAAGUUGCCUGCAGCACUUCC